RNAcentral lists this transfer RNA (72 nucleotides) under Bos taurus (domestic cattle). It matches the Rfam family "tRNA". From Rfam's summary of the family: Transfer RNA (tRNA) molecules are approximately 80 nucleotides in length. Their secondary structure includes four short double-helical elements and three loops (D, anti-codon, and T loops). The record is from Rfam by way of RNAcentral. RNAcentral also lists the same sequence under 4 other names. Lineage: Eukaryota; Metazoa; Chordata; Mammalia; Artiodactyla; Bovidae.
UCCCUGGUGGUUCAGUGGUUAAGAAUCCACCUUGUGAAGGAGAGGACUCGGGUUUGAUCCCUGGUCAGGGAA